GAUGAACGCUGGCGGCGUGCCUAAUACAUGCAAGUCGAGCGAACAGACGAGGAGCUUGCUCCUCUGACGUUAGCGGCGGACGGGUGAGUAACACGUGGAUAACCUACCUAUAAGACUGGGAUAACUUCGGGAAACCGGAGCUAAUACCGGAUAAUAUAUUGAACCGCAUGGUUCAAUAGUGAAAGACGGUUUUGCUGUCAAUUAUAGAUGGAUCCGCGCCGCAUUAGCUAGUUGGUAAGGUAACGGCUUACCAAGGCGACGAUGCGUAGCCGACCUGAGAGGGGGAUCGGCCACACUGGAACUGAGACACGGUCCAGACUACUACGGGAGGCAGCAGUAGGGAAUCUUCCGCAAUGGGCGAAAGCCUGACGGAGCAACGCCGCGUGAGUGAUGAAGGUCUUCGGAUCGUAAAACUCUGUUAUUGGGGAAGAACAAAUGUGUAAGUAACUAUGCACGUCUUGACGGUACCUAAUCAGAAAGCCACGGCUAACUACGUG
This 497-nucleotide ribosomal RNA is filed under the name uncultured bacterium. Its description in RNAcentral is "partial 16S ribosomal RNA". It matches the Rfam family "Bacterial small subunit ribosomal RNA", at positions 28 to 507 of the family's 1533-position model. The record is from RNAcentral.